This 253-nucleotide ribosomal RNA is filed under the name uncultured bacterium. Its description in RNAcentral is "partial 16S ribosomal RNA". It matches the Rfam family "Bacterial small subunit ribosomal RNA", at positions 524 to 776 of the family's 1533-position model. The record is from RNAcentral.
UACAGAGGUCUCAAGCGUUGUUCGGAUUCAUUGGGCGUAAAGGGUGUGUAGGUGGCGCUGUAAGUCGGGUGUGAAAUUUCGGAGCUUAACUCCGAAACUGCAUUCGAUACUGCGGUGCUUGAGGACUGGAGAGGAGACUGGAAUUCUCGGUGUAGCGGUGAAAUGCGUAGAUAUCGAGAGGAACACCUGCGGCGAAGGCGGGUUGCUGGGCUGACACUGACGCUGAGGCGCGAAAGCCAGGGGAGCGAACGGG